This 253-nucleotide ribosomal RNA is filed under the name uncultured bacterium. RNAcentral describes it as "partial 16S ribosomal RNA". It matches the Rfam family "Bacterial small subunit ribosomal RNA", at positions 524 to 776 of the family's 1533-position model. The record is from RNAcentral.
UACGUAGGGCGCAAGCGUUGUCCGGAAUUAUUGGGCGUAAAGAGCUCGUAGGUGGCUUGUCGCGUCUGCCGUGAAAGCCCAUGGCUUAACUAUGGGUCUGCGGUGGAUACGGGCAGGCUAGAGGCUGGUAGGGGCAAGCGGAAUUCCUGGUGUAGCGGUGAAAUGCGCAGAUAUCAGGAGGAACACCGGUGGCGAAGGCGGCUUGCUGGGCCAGUUCUGACGCUGAGGUGCGAAAGCUAGGGGAGCAAACAGG